RNAcentral lists this long non-coding RNA (30726 nucleotides) under Solanum lycopersicum (tomato). RNAcentral describes it as "long non-coding RNA (SLYC_LNC000362)". Lineage: Eukaryota; Viridiplantae; Streptophyta; Magnoliopsida; Solanales; Solanaceae. The record is from RNAcentral.
CUUCAGACACCUCGAUUGCAUUCAAGUUUUCAUAUGUUGCCAGAUCAAAACAAACCUCAUUUCAUCCACCAAAGGAGAAAACAUCUCCACUAAUGUCAGGAUUUUUGCGAUAAACCUUUAUGCCCCAAGGCACAAACCGUAUUUGAUAUCUUACGGUUAUACUAUCGCAUAAUAAUUUAUUUGUACCCCACUGACAUUAUACCUUGAUUUAUGGACUACCAGUCCAAAAUGUCACUUUUCUAAGUGAAACAAAAUAUACUUGAAUUGUGCAUUUUACUUGGCCAACCAUUUAUCUAUUCACACUAUAUGACAGAUUUGAAUUCAAGAUCCUCAUCACAAUUUAUAUCAUUGAGUGCUACCUCAUAUCAAAGAUACCAUUGACGGUUAUUUGAUAUCGAUUCCAACAAGACAUAACUUAUCGAGAUCUCUUCAUUUUUCAUUAUUUCAGGUACCUGAACCUUUUUCAAGAUUUUAUGAAGUGUUAUGUCAAUGUGCUCUUUUAUAGCACUUGCCUCAUUAUCAUGACCAUAUUGAUCAUUUGCUCCUUCCUUCUUCAAGGAAUUUUAUAUUUGGAAUCGAUUGGUCUAUUACGCUUCCAGCGUAUCAUAGACUCUGUCCUUCAAGGACUUCACAUUGGAGCAUUUGCAGCUGAAUUAUAUCAUAGGGUCAGUGCAUUCAUCUGGCAACUGAUUUGCAACAUUAUGCAACUGAAUUAUCCCUUGAACUUUAAGUUCACAUAUUUAUUUUAACGAGGAUCUAGAUAAUUCAUAAUUAACCUCACACAUAAUUUUCAGCUGUCAAUCAUCUCUCCUCCUAAUGUUAGAAAAUCUAACAUUCAUUCCAACCUUAUUUGGAAGUUCAUCUUUGUGCGUGGUGGAGCAAUUAAAAUCAUAAUCGCACAUUCAACAUUUUAGAUGAAAAUUAUAUGGUUCCUGACCCUGAACCAAUUUUAAUGGGGAAACCUUGUUGGUUUGAUGCAUACAUGUGUUGAUACAUGUUAAACAAAAUUAUCUCAUACCAAAUCUUAUUUGGGAGUUUUGUUCUCAUAACCAUGAUUUAGCUAUAAUAGGAGGCAUACAAUUUCUGCUAAAUCAACCAGCAUUAUCAAUAUAAUUUCAUAAUUUGGAACUAUGCUAUUAAUUUUAACAAUUCGAGCAAACAACCUUACAAAAACCAAUUUGUAAGUUGACAACAAAAUACAUGUGACCAUCGCAUAGAUGCAUUAAUCAUAUAGUUGCAAAUGAUCCACAUGACAGGUGAACAGGCCCAUAUUCACCCUUUUAUAUGUUCCAAAUUUUUUUUUAGGGGAUUACAGUCCCGACCUUAGCUGGUACAAUGAUCAUUUUAUCAAGAGAACAAGCAACACAAGAGAAUUCUUGAAGAAUCUUUAUUUCUUCAUCAUAUAAAUCACCUGAAUUCGCAAUCACGUUUGCAUUACAUUUAAUCGGAAUGGUCAACCAGUCAUGCCAACUGAUCUUUAUUUUAGUACACUUAUAAUUUACUUUUACAUGUGAUUUCAUCAGCAUGUACAUGUUUGUAUGGAACAAACAGGAGGAAAAGUGGGGUAAUCUUUUACAUAAACAUUAUAACCCUCUUCGGUUGUAGUAAUUUAUAGUCUCAAUAUUUAUUUUCAUUCAUCCGAAACUUAAAAAGUUUCUUUUGAGACUUACUACAACCCCAAUAUUAUUCCUCUGAUAAUAGCACAACUCGUUAGAGCUUGCAAUUAAUUUUGUGUACUAUGACAUAUUGCAUGACACCAUCCCUAUGGUGAGCAUCUCCUUCAAGGAGGAAAUUAUAUUAUUAUUGUCAUGGUCAAAAUCAUUACGAGCAAGACGUCUUUCUUGCUUUACUUUUGUUGUACCAUAGGUACACAACCAAUGACAAAUUUGUAUUGCCACCAUAUAAUGACCACAACCCUUAUAGGCAAGAACUAUUUCUUUCUUUUGCCCUUUCGAUAGUUUAUAUCAUAGUGACGUAUAAAACGUACAAUACAAUUAGCCAUUUCUACCAAAUAAAAUUUAUUUCCUCUCAAAUCUCCCGUAGAGAUGAGAAGUGACAUGUAUCAUUUUUUUUCUCAAACCUUCUAUAGAGGUGAGUUGUGACAUAUAUCCAACCCAUAAUGAUUUUAUCACAUCUGGACCCAUUCUCUUAUAGAAUGGUCGAGCAUUCACGAUACUCAUUACAAGUCACAUUCUCUUCAAGGAUUGGACUAAUUAUUUAUAUGUACUUUAUAAAUUUGCAUUAUAAGCACAUUGUCAUGGCUUUAAAAUUCAUCAUAUUUCCAUGACACACCUCAACAUCACUUUGAAAGAUUAAGUGUACCAUCACUUUAUCUUCUUGUAUCAUGAUAGAAGAUUUAUAAAUUUGUCAAAUUAUUGGGUUGACAACAUUCACAAGUCUAAUGACCUUUCAUACCAUUUUGAUAAUAAAAAUUGCCUUCACAUUUUGAAGGACUAUUUGGAGAAGCCAUAGUGUUCUUCCUUUUAUAAUUACCAUAAUGAUGACUAUUAUAAUUCCGUCCCUUCAUGUCCUUUUUCAUAUCGCUAAUCAUUUGUCAUCUUUCAGACUAAUUAUUUACUGCUACCACAUUCAUACGAUAGAAUGGAGCAAGUCAGCAUCGGAUUUCAAAGUUAUCAUAUGUUGCUACCACAUUCUUUUCAAGGAAUGGAGCAAGUUCAAUAUGACAAAUUUCAAGGCUUUUCAUAAAAACCUUAGUCAUCAUUGUUUCAUCACUAUGGUGCAUUGACUCAAACUCAAUGUCUUAUCCAUACAAGGCGUGUUAGGCCAAAUUCUAAAAGACUUGAACUCAAUCCUUAUCAUCAUGGUGCAUCAAAACUCAGAUUUGAUGUCUUAUCCUCUUGGUGCGAUAGAUUUUAAAUCUAUCGUCUUAUCCUCAAAUAUUUUUCAUUAUAGUGCAUCCGGACUUUAACCUGAUGUCUUACCCUUUUGGUGCGAUGAAACUUGAAUCCAUCGUCUUACCCUUAACCAACGGUAUAAUAGACCAAAGUACAAUAUGACUCACCCUUUGAGUCUUUCAAAACAAUCAAAAUAAUAUUUAAACUCAUGCUAUUAAAAUUUUAUACCUUUUUCUAUUUAAGAAAUUUUGUAUAGCAUGUCAUAUUCAACCAAUAGUAGUAUAUGUCUUCGGUUCCUGAUAAUUGUUAGUGACUGAACACUAUUUUAUUCUAAAUCAUAAAAUAUUUUAGAAAAUACAUACCUGAUUUUAUGCAUACAAUACUUUGAUCUUCAUAACGAGAUCAACCAAAAUAUGAGCUAAAGAAAAACAAGAACUCACUCUCAAUUAGAUAGAGACUCGUGCUGAUAACGUGUUAUAAAAUCAAGCUCAUGACAAUAUAAAUAUAAAGAGAUGAAGACAAGAGAAGUAAAAUGGAAGAUAAGACUUUCUUCUUAUUCAAGUGUAUUCAAGUCUCAUAUGUAUAUCUUACAAUAGUGAAUGAACAACCCUAUUUAUAGAGUGAGAAAUCACUCCAAAGGUCACCAUAUUAAGUAUCAUAAUAAAUAGAUACAUUCUUAUCUAAAAAGGUUCAUGUAACCUAGUGAAUAUGAAUAGUUGUUCAUGUACCGACCUUAUGGACUAUCCACUUAUUCAAUGAAUUUAUAACAGAAAUGAAUUUUUAUUUUUAUUUGUUACUUUUUGAAUUUUGAGUAUCAAAAAAAUAUAAAUUAUUUUUUGAAAAAAUGACAGAAAUUUUAACUUCUAAGUUUUCUUAUAAUCAUUAUUUCUUAUUAGUUUUAUAAAUUUGCAAAUCUUUCAUUUUUGUGCAUUAAAUUAAUGCAUCAGAUUAAUGUAUCUCGCACAUCAAAUUGGUGUAUCAUGUAUAAAAUGUAAUCUAUCUUAUUCAACUAUUAAUGUAUGUUGCGCAUUAGGCGAAUUGAGUGUUUUUCAAAAAAUAUAUUUAGUUGAGAUCAAUAAACAUAUUCUCUCCUUUGAAAAGAGAUAUUCCAAUAACAUUAUAUGAAGACAAUGCCUUGUGUGCUCAACUAAGAGGAGGAUACAUUAAAGAAGACUGAGCAAAAUAUAUUUCAUCAAAGUUUUUUUUAUUCAUGAUAUUCAAAAUAAGAAUGUAACGAUGUUUAACACUUCGUAUUCACCAAGGCAUUAUGAACUUCAACCUUUGAGAAGUCGAGAUAUAAGAUUGCAAUGCAUUAUCAUCAAGUUGUUAAGUGAUUUUUUAAUUAUAUGGGUUUAAUGCGCGCUGCACUAGUUGAUAUUUUGUCCCACUGGAUUAUCCUGGUAAGGUUUUUAAUAAGAUAGCAAUCAAUGCGUAUUACAACUUACAAAAUGUGUAAACUCUUUUUCUAUCACUAAAAUUUUUCUCAUUAAAUUUUAACAAGACACAUUAUCUGUUUAGACAUAAACAUCCAAGAAUUUAGUGUUGUAAAUUAUGUAACGACGGAUGCCCAUGAACCAUAAUUUAUACGUAGUUAUUAUAUGCAACUAAUGAGGCCAACACACUAUAUUAUAUUUGUAUGACCAAGUAAUUUGAUAUUAUGAUGAGGCUUAUAAAUUGCCUAUUAGUUACUCAUCUUAAUUAUGAGAAAAACAUCAAAUGUAAAAGACAAAGUUACUUGUACUAUUUGGUGUAUCUCUCUUUCUCUCCUCUCUUUUUGUCAUUUUACGAUAUCUCUAACUCAAACACUAAAUUUUAUAUUAAAUUUGGUGUUUUAUAUUAAAAGAAAAUCUUUCUCUCUCUUUUCAUUAUUAUAUUAUUGUUUCUUAUUUCAUUUAUAUUUUCUUAUUUCAUAAAACAAAUUUUUAUCUAAAACAUUUACUAUAUAUGAUUCAUAUUAUUUCCUUUUAUAAUUAUUUUAUAUAAAAUUAUUUUGUACCAUAAUUUUUUUUAAAUAAUAUAAAUUGCUAGCAAAUAUUAUACAUUAUACAUAAUAAUUGAUAAUACAAAUAAAAGUGAAAUUAUUGAUGAAAGACAAUUAAAUAAACAUUACAUAAUAAUUCAUAAUACAAAUAAAAGUGAAAUUAUUAAUGAAAUACAAUUAAAUAAACAUUAUGAAAAAAUUAUUUUAAAUUAUACAUAAAUAUUCAAUUUGUACAUAAAUAUUCAUUGCGGCGCUUACGUAAAUGCUCUAUUAAUGCUUUACGUAAUUCAAAACGAGCAUUUUAGGUCCUUUUCCGUAUAAUUUGUAGUAAAAUUAAUAUAAAUUUGAUUUUCUUGAAAGUCAUAAAUAGAAAAAUUAAUUUAUAAAAAAACUAAAUUUUAUAUCUAAAAGUAUCACAUAAAUAAUUAAAUAUAUAAGAGAUUUAAUUAAAACAUACAGUUUAAUUAAAAGUUUAUAUAAUGAAAUUAUAUUAUAAUAUUUAAAAGAUUAUUUGGUGUGAUGAAUAAUGUGACCCUAUUCACACAUCAAAUUUAAUGUUAAAAUUGAUAUGGGUUGGAGAGUCAAAAACACCAAAUAUAAAAUCUAAUGUAAAAUUUAGUGUUGGAUUGGAGACAAUCUUAUAUUAACACGCAUACUUUAUUUAUAACAGCGUUCAAAUAAAAUUUCGAUUUGAUUCCAAUAAAAUCUCUUUAUGCUAAGAUCGCUAAGAGAAUGUAAAGAAAGAUUUGAAAAGUUUGGAAAAAAAACUUUUAUAUUACUUGGAAGAUUGUUUACAAUUUUUCUUUGAUGAUUUAUAAAUGAGUAACAAUGAUUUACAAAUGAGUAACACCUCUAUUUAUAUUAUAUACUAUCUAAAGACUAAAAUGUAAUUUAUAAUUAAAUAUUUUGAUUCUUUUCUAGAGUAUUAUACUUUUUAGGACUACUCAAAAUUUUCUUAGAAAAUAUCUAGUCUAAAACUCUCCAAAAUUUAUCUAAAGUUGUUUACAAACUUCUCCAAAUUCUAGACUUUAUGCAAAAUCUUGUGUCACUUGACUAUGCUACGUGAACAUUUUUAACCACAAUCUAUUGAUUUUGAAAGAAAAAAAUAAGUAACACGUCGGAAGUUGCACUUGCACGAAAAUCAGUCGACGGUGGAAUAGUCAACUAACUUCGGCUGAGACAGCGUGAGGGAUGUCGUCGCUUACGGUGGUCACCGAUUCCGGCGAACGAGCUCCGCUUCUUUGUAUUUCUUCGCCAGAAUUGUCGCACUCGCACCCUAGGGAUGGAGAAAUAGUCUCUUCGUCCUCGGACGAGAUUGCCGUAUCAAAACCUACGCUCAGUGAUCCCAAACAACGUUUAGUCUCUCUCGAUGUCUUUAGAGGCCUUACCAUCGCUGUAUGCUUCCUCUGAAUUUUCUCUUUCCGAUGGCGAUGGACUGAGCCGGCCAUUUCUAAAGUUCUAUUUUAUUUUUCGUAGUUUAACCCUCUAUGAUGAUUGAUGAAACCCCUUAUCACAGCUUUUCCUGCAAAGCACUAUGUCAAAAUUAUUGGAAGAGAAGAAAACACACCCUUAUACUGUUUUGUGAUUUUGCCUGAAUUGUGCUUAUUUGCACAAACACCACCUAAUCAACCUAAUCGAAUGUUAGAAAUUCAAUUCUGCAAUUUCAAUCUUUUCUUUGUAGCUGAAAAUAUUAUACUCUAACUCUUCACCUUUCUCUUCACUAGUGCCUUUUAUUUCAAAGUCAAAAGUAAUACGGAUGAAAGGUGCAAUGCUAAUGGAAAAUGCAUUUUUUUGUGGUUAUCUUGCAGGAGGGUAGUGUUAUAACUUAAAGAAAGACGGGGAAUUGAAAAUUUCUAACGUUUCUGUUUCUGAUUCUAGCAUCUAUUGUAGACUUGUCCUUUCUUUUAAUCCUCUUUGUUAAAUGAUGUGUCUUGAGCGAUUUCAUGUGCUUUUUUUUUUUUUUACUUAGUUUAAUCUCCUUCCUUCUCACCUUAGUUUUCUUUAUGUGGUUUGUUUGACAGUUAAUGAUUUUGGUUGAUGAUGCUGGAAAGGCUUUCCCGUCCAUAAACCACUCUCCAUGGUUCGGAGUGACCCUUGCUGACUUUGUGAUGCCAUUUUUCCUAUUUAUCGUUGGUGUUUCUGCAAGUUUAGUAUUCAAGGUACCAAUUCAUAAUGCUCUUUGUUAGGUAAUCCAAUUUUUUUCAAUUUCAACAGUGAUCUAUUGUUGAUGCAGAAAGUUUCCUGCAAGCCACAAGCUACAAAAAAAGUCUUACUGAGGACAGUUAAGCUCUUUAUUUUGGGAGUAGUCCUUCAAGGUAUGCCAUUUUCUAAGCGACUCACAUCCCAAGAGAGAGACUAAAAGAGGAAAAGAAAAAGAAGAUCUUAGCCCUCAAUUAUUAUUUGCCAAAAUGUUUUGUGUACAUAGAAGAGAAAUGACUAUGUUCUACUUAUGCUCUGCGUUCAUUUUCUACUUAUCAACAACAACAUACCCAGUAUAAUCUCUCAAGCGAGGUCAAGGGAGAGUAGCCCUACUAGAGAGUAGAGAGGUUGUUUCCACCCUCGGCUCCAGGAAAGGCAGAUCAAAAAAGAAAUAAAAGAAGUGAAGAAUUCAUUGAAAAUACUAUAGAAAGCAUGACAUGCAUUCUUGAAAAAAUAGCAGCUACAAUAAAAUAGUGUGACAAUCGAUGUACAAGAGAUAGUAGAUAGUAACAGAAUUGAAGGACAAGAAACUACAAGAGAAAUACUACGACCUCUAGUAUGGAAGGAUAAACAAGACAACACUCUAUUAUUUACUAACUUUCUUCCCUAAUCUGUGUCUUCUACAACCUCUUAUCUAAGGUCAUGUCUUCGAUAUGCUGCAACUGCAUCAUGUCCUGUCUAACUACCUCUCUUCAAUACAUUUUUGGCCUAUCGCCUACCUCUAGCUCUCCUGAAGCUAUCCAUAACCAACCUCUCACACCUCCGCAUUGAGGCAUUCAUGCAUAUGCUCUUUUACAUGCCCUGACCAUCUCAGUUAAACUUCAUUUGUGUGAUGAAAUGCCAGAUCCGAUGUAAUCAAUAUGUAAGUCAACAUGUAGAGCAAAUCAUGGACUGCUGGUAUUGAAGAAGUAAAGAUUAAUUAUGCAAGGAUAAGAAAAUAUCUAUCUAUAUAUAUAUAACUGACUUAAGUGAGAUCUAACUGACUUAAUGACCUAACUGACUAAUAUCCUCAUAGUUCACUGUAUUUACAAGUAUGCCAUUGUCUUCAUAUAUAUAUAUAUAUAUAUAUAUAAAACCGACUUAAGUGAGAUCUAACUGAAUGACCUAACUGACUAAUAUCCUCAUAGUUCACUGUAUUUACAAGUAUGCCAUUGUCUUCCACAUUAUCAUUUCAGCAUCUCUUCAAGCUAGUUGGUGGGAAAACAUUCAAAACACCUAGCUUUGAUAAUCGAUGAUAAUGUUGAACUCCUCCAAGUCCCUUUGUCAAGAAAUCUCUUCUUGCUCAGUUGUUGGAACAUACUAUGGAUGAACUAGAUCCUGCAGCACUUCUCCCUUAUCAAAUGACAAUCUUUAUGUGUUUUGUUCUUUCAUGAAACACAAGAUUCUUUGCUAUCUGCAUUGCUGCCUUACUGUCUGUGAGCAACUGAAUUGGCGUAGGAACGCUAACUCCAGAUACUUGAAUAAUACCAAUAGCCAGAUAAAUUCUGAUACUAUUAAUACCAUGCUUCUAUAGUCGGAUUCUACUGAGCUUUUUGCCACUGUGUUAUGCUUCUUUGACUUCCAUUAUAUUAAAGAUCCAGCUGCCUCCAAAUAUGACUUCUUUGGAGUCUGCAUGGACUAACUCAAGGUCUAAAUACUAUGGGCUAUAUCCAGCCUAGAACUGUACGACAACCUGUCUGCCUUGUCUUCUCAAUGUGAAUAAAGAAUAUCAUAUUGACUUAGAAAAAGACCAACUAAUAAGGGCAUUAGUGGAAUUCAGAUUCCAUAGCCUUAAUGCUUGCUUAAGACCAUAACGAGAUUUGAGGAGCCUACAACCCUUAUUAUGGCUGUCAAGUCCAGGUGGAAACAAUAUGUAAACCUCCUCCUCUCCUCUUGCAAAGAGAGCACUGUAAACAUCCCUUUGAUAUAGACUCCAGAUAGGCAUAGUAGUGAAGGCAAUGACAGCCGUAGCUGUCACCAUCUUAACAACAAGAGGAAAAGUCUCCAAAUAGUCCAACCCCUUUUGUUGGCUAUACCCUUUCACCACAAGCCUUGCGUUGAAUCUUUCCACCUCAUCAAUAGACUUAUAUUUGAUCUAAUAUACCCAUUUACAAUCAAUGGAAAUCUUUCCUCUGGACGCAUCAACCACCUCCCAAGUCUUAUUCUAAACCAAAGCAUCUAUCUUAGACUGCAUGGCAACUGGGAGAAAUAAAUGAGAAAAAAUAUUAGGAUUGAAAAUAAUCAUACGAGUUUUGAGAUUUGAGAUUGAAGUCAUUGUUGUGAAAGACUGAAACCAAGCUUAUGUUGUGGUAUUGCUUGGGCAAAAGCAUUGAUGAGUAUGAUGAUGUGGAUGGAAAAUUGUGCAAAAACUAUUAAGUAUAAUGAACUUAACCAUGAAAGAGGGUGGUGGUGGGUGCACACUGUACACCUAUCAACCAUGGUGGGCUUAUUCGAACUAGGGUCCUCUUUUUGGAUGGCAUUGAGUAUCCAUAUAUUAUUGACUAUCAAGGCCAUAUAUUAUUGAUUGUCGAAGAUUUAUUAGUAAAUGGAACUUUUUGCUGACUUCGUCAAAAUUAAGAUUAUGAUUUAAUGUGUACUGCUUUGAAAAAACAUAAGGAUGAAAUUUGCUGAGAGGUAACACCUGGAGGAAAAAGGGAUCAGUUGCUUCUGUCCUGCUUGAACUGAAAAUUUGACAUCAUGAGCUUCUGUUAUUAUUAGCUUUUUAGAUAUUCUGGCAAAGUAAAAAGCCUCCCUUACAUAAACUGUUCCAUCAACUGCAUGUAAACUCACAUAUGUUACAGUUACAAGUCACUGAAUCACUCAUUCGUAGGUGGGUAUUUCCACGGCCGCAACAACCUGAGUUAUGGAGUUGAUAUUGCUAAAAUUAGAUGGAUGGGAGUGUUACAGGUACUUUGUGUGACAAUGGCUUGUGUUUCUUAAUUGAUUAUUCCUGAAGUUGUAUUCCCUGGCGCUCUUCUAUACUCUUAGGUAGAUCAAAACCUUUAAUGUUAGUUGUAUUUAAGUUUCUAUACAUCCUACCGUUACUCUAUUUGCUUUCUGUUGUAGAGGAUUUCCAUCGGUUAUUUAUUUGCUUCAAUCCUGGAAAUUUGGUUUGCCAAUGAUUAUCCUGUUGAUUCAUCAAAGGCAUUUAUCAGGAGAUACUUCUUCCAAGCGUAAGUAUACCUUUUGAGAUUCUGGAUCAUCUGGUGUUAGGUUCAUUCAUGGUUUAUUUUAAUCCUUCUGUUGGUGAUUCACAUGGUUGAAGUGUUCAUUCAUGGUUUAUUUUAAUCUUUUGUUGGCGAUUCACAUAGUUGAAGUGUUUGUUUUUCUUAAUUUUGUCUUCCUAUGUCAAGAAUUUCACACAUAUCCGUUCAAGAUUUUUGUAGUGCUUGAAAUUUUGUGGUAGCAGCAGAAUAUUUAUCCUUAAGCAUGUGUAUGAACUAGUACCCUUGAGAAUCUGUGAAUGAUAUUACUACUUGUCCUGCAAAAAAUGAUCUAUGAUACUCCAAAGGAGUUCAUGAAGUGCAACAUUACCAGUUUUUUUUAAAAAAAUUUCAUGAAGUGCAUAACAAUAUUCUAGUGAUUCAAAUGGCUAUCCAUCUGUUACUGGGAAUACAGCUGGUUGACAUUUGUUCUCUGUCUAUGCUAUUUCUACUUCUUAUAUAGCAGUCCUUUGACCUGAACAAUCAAAUGAAAUUUUCGUCCCUUAGCAUUUUGCUUGUUGGAAUUAAAUGCAGCUUAAGCAAAACCUAUUUAACUUUUCAGUGGAUAUGUUCUCCUAUUGCACAUUUUCCUGAGACAUGGUCCAAUACAUGAUGACCCUUUCAGCUUUUUGCUUGUCCAGAAUAUGGGUAUGUGCAAUUGUAUGAUGUUCGUAAUUGUUAUGAGGAAUGAUGAGAUCCCAGUUAUUUUUAUCUGAUCAGUCAUUUUAACCUCAAUUCUGUUACAAAAAAAAUGAUGAGAUCCCAGAUCUGAUCAAUUAUGCCUUUAUGCCAAUUUGAAAAUUGCAAAGUAAUUCUAUUUGAGAACCUUUUUUUUUUUAAAUGCUAAUAUGCUUCUCAAUAUGCAGGCUGGCUGGAAUGUUAAUUGGUUUGUCGUACCUGAUUUUGGUAUAUGGCCUCUAUGUUCCAGACUGGUUCUUUGAAAUAUCUAGUCUUAACAUGGAAUCACGAUCACCAGUUUCAGGAUAUCGAUUGAGUACUCAAACUGUAAGAAUCUUUUUGAAGAGCUUCAAGAUUUUAGUGUUCUCUGAUUUACUCUAUCUGGUGGCUGUUAAACUCUUUCCUUUUCAGCACUAUACAUCUGCUAAAUUGUCAUUCUACAUGCCUUACUUCAAGUUCCCUAGAAGUCUGACACUUCAGUAAAUCAAUGUGGUUUGAGAGAGAAAGUGAAGCCACAUUUCAGGUUGACAGAUUGAGCCACUCUUCAUCUUACUUUAGGUCAUGAAUCUAUUUUUAACAGGUUAACUGUGGAGUGAGGGGCAGUCUCGAACCUCCUUGCAAUGUUGUUGGUCUGAUUGAUAGGCUUCUUCUUGGUGAAAAACACCUUUAUCAACGUCCUGUCUACAGAAGAACCAAGGUUCUUUAUGAACUUAAUUGUCAUGUUCAAAAUCUGAUUUUGUGGAUUUGAACUUUCCAUCUCUAUUCUCUUUGUUUUUUCUCUUGUAAUUUUCUGUGGAUAGGAAUGCAGUGUCAACUCUCCUGAUUAUGGACCUCCACCAUCAAAUGCACCUGGAUGGUGCCUUGCUCCAUUUGACCCUGAAGGAAUCUUAAGGUAGAUAUCCUCCUUGCCCCAUAUACACUUUCUCAGCAGAUUGCAUCUGGUUUAGUUUUAUUAGCUAAAGCCCAGUUACACACAAUUGGAAACAACUUUCCUUUGUGAGUUGAUUUGAAUUUCUGGAGGUACUAAUUCAUGAAGGCUGAUAAUUCUAUCUCUCACUUCAUUAUACAAUGUUUAAAGUAACAUAUCAUUUGCUGUACCAUUUGUUUUACAUAGGAUAAGUGCUUAAAUCAACCAAAGACUACACAAUGGAUUAAGAAUGAUUGGAAAUUCCUGUUUCUUUUUUAUGUUAAAUCAAAUUAUGUUCCUUUGUUUUACUUUAAUUGCUUCCAGCUCAUAUUUUUCUAUUUCUUCAUUGAAACUAUUCAGUUCUUUGAUGGCAACCGUUACGUGUCUUGUGGGCUUGCAUUUCGGCCACAUUUUUGUGCAUGUUAAAGUAAGGAAGACAUGAUACCAUUUUGAAAUAUUUGCUUACUAUAGAAUUGCUUCUUGUUUUUGCAUGUUCUCUUUCUCAUAUUUAUACAUCUUUGCUAUAGGAUCACCGGCAGAGGGUAAUCUUUUGGUCUGUAUUUUCUGUAUUUCUAACACUUGCAGGAUAUGUAUUGGAGCUUGCAGGUAUGCUGUUUUAUUGAUGACAGUGGGUUGAAUUUUGUUUUUAAAAUAUGUUUGCUUUAUAGCUGACACUCACAGCACAUUUUUGAUGUUCCAGGUGUUCCUCUUUCUAAACCGCUUUACACAUUGAGCUAUAUGUUCAUCACGGCUGGAGUAUCCGGUUUGCUCUUAGUAGUUCUUUAUUACAUUGUGAGCCUGACUAGAUUUAUUGGUUAUCUUCUCUUUUAAUGAGAUAAUCCUUUGUGAUAUUAAUUCUACGAAAAAUGAUAUGUACCGAAACAGAUGAAUUUUCUUUCAUUGAUAUUUGACAGAAUGAAUAAUGAGCAAGAUGCCCAAGAGAAGCCACCAGAAAUGAGCAUUGAUGAUAUUAACAUACUAUAUCUGAUACUGCUUAAUGAAAAAGUGACUGCUAGGUUAAUAAAUGGAAUCAAACUGAAGUUCACAACAUGAGAGUACUUUUAAUUUCCUUUAGUGUUACAGAGUUUAUAAAAGAUCUGUACGUGCAAAUACCAGGAUUGUCAAUAUUAUUUUCAUUGUCGACUCUUUUGUUGGUAAUAAUUGAUAAAAAUAUGGUAGACUCAAAAUGUGCAAUCAUUAUUUAGGGAAAUGUAUAUUUGAUCAUGAUGCAUUACGGUCUAGUGUCUAACUGAAAGCAGAUACAUUUAUAUAUUUGCUAAGCGAUGUAUGAUCUGCAGUCUGCACUUCCAAAUUUAAUUAGAUGGCUGUUUGGAAGAUUGCAAGAUAUGGGACCAAAUAAUGAAAUGCAGAUUGUGCACAUGACUGUUUUCCUGAUACUUUUAUGUAUCCGUCAAGUCUAGUAAUUGCUUUCCAGGCACUGACUUGUGGCUUUUGAAGAAAAACAUCUUUAAUUUUGAAGUAGAAAUUUAUACUUCUCAUACAGUAUCUGUAUUGUGAUUUUCUUGAUUCUGUUACAACACGUACUUGUAAACUAUCAAUUAAGAAAGGUAUUCCCUUAAUUUUUACAUCAUUAGAGGAAAAGGAUGAUAUUACUGAUCUACGGCAUGGAAUUGAUUUGCGUUCUCUAUCUGGUCGAUGCAGGUUGAUGUCAAAUGUUUUCAGAAGCCAAUGAUAUUAUUUCAGUGGAUGGGAAUGAAUGCUCUCAUCCUCUAUGCUAUGGCUGCUUGUGACCUCUUUUCUGGGGCAGUUCAAGGUUUCUAUUGGUAUUCACCUGAAAACAACUUGGUAAUCAUCUUCUUUCCAUUAAAUAUUAGUUCCUCUAGUAAACUUACUCAACUUCUGAGGAGCUAUUUCUGAUAAUUGCAAUGCUCUGCUCCACAAACCUGCUUUUGGCAAACAGUGUUUGUGGAAGAUCAUUUGUGACAGGUGUGACAGAGAGAACCACAUUAAAAGAGAGAGAGAGAGAGAGAUGGACAAUAUCCCUGGAAAUGAGAUUGGGAUUUAGUAUUAGCCUUUUAUGAAGGUUUAGUUUGACCUACUAUUCUACAUAUGACAGGCAUCAGAAAACAGUGAGCAGAGCACAUCAAAGAUAUUUCUGCUUUUGUAUCCUAAUGGAUAAAUUAAUAGUAUGAAUUUGGAGGAUUCUUGGUAAAAUUGAGUACUCUGGUGGAAAGAGGGGGGAGGAGUUGUCAUUUGAAACUGGGACUUCUUUACCAGUUGAACUAGUUCUGAUUACCCUUCAAGUACUCUGCACCUCUCCCCUCUCCCCAUUUGUUGUGGUUUUCUUCAGCCCUCAAGUAGUGCAGUGUUAUUUAUGGUGUUCACGUAGUAACUUUCAUACUUGUAUAUUCUCCUCAAGUCGCUUCAUAUUCAAUUUUUUUCUUGUUAACAAUAGUCUCUCCAUGUUUUGUGUAAGAGACAUAAAAAUCAAAUAGUAUCAUUUUCUAGCAAAUUUACUGCUUCAUUUAGGUUUCCAAGUUUGUUUAAUGCAUACUUAUAGGUGCUUUUAGAGAUUUACAGAUAGUAACUAUAUCAAACGAUGCUUCUACAAAGAUCUGACAUUACAAAUAAAAUGGAAUGCAGGUUGACAUUACAGAAAGGUUCAUUCAAGCAGCAUUUAAUUCAAAGAAGUGGGGUACCUUGGUAUUUGUGAUGCUUGAGAUAUUGAUUUGGGGUUUGGUUGCUGGAUUCCUUCAUGCAAAAAAGGUUUAUAUAAAGCUAUGAAGUUGCUGAUGUGAAUGCUUUUGCGUUGUCUGGUGCCACUCUCUUGAUCAUGCCCAGUAUUUUAAAAGAAUGCAUUCAGUGAGUCCUUCCUGCAGCAAAUCCAGAAGAUUUGAGAUUCCCAAGUCAUAGCAUUGAACUUUACUGUCCUUACGUCAUGUAUAUAUCUGCGGAUAAUAUUAUGUAGUAGAUCAUGAACAGUUUCCAGCUUUCUCCUUGGGUAGUUGUGGCAUUAAAAUUUGCUUCAAGGAUAUCUACAUAGUCCAGUCACAAAUGACAGCAGGUUGUAAACUUGUCAUAUCAUAUUUAAUUCUCUUUGUUGAUCUUCCUUUCUAUUACGGUAUUACCCAGUUCCUAGCUGGUCUUGACAAUCGUGGACACCACAUUAUAUAUAUAUAUAUAUAUAUAUAUAUAUAUAUAUACACAUACAUACAUACAUAUAUAUAUAUUCUCCUUUUCUGUUCUUUUUGCGGGUGGAGUGAGAUAGACCCUGUUCUUGAACUUUGCAAAUUCAUUUACCAUGAAGAAUCAAAGAUUAUAACUUGGACCCCGUUAAUACAUUCAUAAUCCUAUAAUUAGCGAGUCUGAUAUAGAGCAUAAUCACAAGUUAUAAUGUGAGACAAAAUUAACCAUGGGAAUUUUAUCACGACUGUCUGGGCAGCUUCUGUUUCUGCUACUUUGCAAUAAGUGAACUAGAUUGAGUAGACAUCGAGCAUCUUUUUACUUGUCUAUUUUUUUCCAAGUCUAAAGAUCCAAUUUAAUUAAUUUACUAAUUGUGACAGAAUUGAGAGAGUCAAGUUCUCAAACGGUCACUCAGCUGCUAUAUAGUAAAGUGAAACUAGUACUAUGUUUUAGGAAUAAAAAAAGAAAUUGAAGCAGAAGGCUGGCCAGAAUGUUAUAUAUAUUCAUGAUUGUUACGUUCCCUUUGUCUUGUUAUAUAUGAUACAGUAUAUAGGUUGGCUUCAUCAUCAAUGUACUUCUCAUCCAUCAUAUACUAUAUAAUUAGCUAGACAAUAAUGGGCUAUCUGGCCUUGGCCUUAUUUAUUACGUAAUGUUGACCUUGCAAUUAAUGGAAUUGGCCAUUGAUUGAAUCAACGUUUUGACGCCUCAUUUGUUGGUAAAACUGAAGGAUGAAGAGCUCGGCCUUGGCAUCGAUCAUGUCAUCAGCGCCAAUAGCAUCGAAGACUUUGUCAGGGUCAUCUUCAUCUUCCUCCUGUUCGUCGAGGUCUUGGAGAUUGCUUGCGGAAGCGUACUGGCUCAUGGUCUCCGAUGAGGCUGAGGCCGAGGCCUGGUCAUCUAGUGAUUUCAGAUCGUUUGCUGAAGCGUAUUGGCUCAUGGUAUCCAACUGAUCUAGUGAUUUGAGAUCGUCAGCAGAAGCGUACUGGCUCACUGCAGAGGGUGACGUGGCACAAUAUAAUGUAUUAUUAUUAUUAAUAUUAUUAUUAUUAUUGUCCUGCAGAUGCAAAGGGCGCAUAGAACCCACCAGCUUCUUCCAAUCUCCCUGUUGGGUUAUUACCUGAGCAGCUUUCUGCUUUCCUUUUGUUCGAUGGCGCAAUACGAACAUUGCAGCUUUGAAGAAGCCGAAAACGCCUGGUGGCUUCGCCUUCUUCUUAUUCUGAUCGUCAUUUCUGUUGUCCUUGAUGGCGACCACGCCUUCCGUCAUUCUUUGAUAUUUAUUAAUUAAUUUGCCUUAGCCCUCCCUGCAAAAUGCAGGGUGAGUUAUAGGAAAAAGAUUUUGGAUAUAACUACCGCACUUCUUAUGCUCUAUAUAGGAGGAACAUUUCUGUUUUCUUGGCAACAUUUGUCACCACAAUAAAUCAUUCAUUUAUUCAAAUUAACACAUUAUUAGGACAACCAAAGGCUUCUAUUUUCUACUUUACCUGAGUUUUCUCCUCAUCAACCAAAUGCAUAAUUGAUUUAAAAAAAAAAAAAAAAAGAUAUACACGGGAAAGAAAUAAGUUUAUAUUUUGUAGAAAAAAAUUCAAACACUUAAAAUUUUGCAAAAGAAAUAAAGCACUUGUGCUCGACAUGAAGUAAUUAUUCGUACCAUGUAAAAUGACUGAUAUAAAAUAACAAAUACUAUGUAUAUUUAAAACUUAAAUUAAUGAAAAGAAUACAAAGAUAUACAAUUUAUCAUUAUCUUAUUUAUGAUACUCAUUUGGCAAAAUUGUACAAGAAACCAAACAAAGUCCAUAAACUGCUGAGGAUUUCAUGUUCAUGAAAAGAAUAAUCUUAAGAAAUGCAAAUUGCAUGUCCAAACAAAAAUUCAACUUCAUAACAAUGCAAUCAUAUCACAAGUCUUAAUGGGCCCUCACGUGUGAAAGACAAACUACGGACCCCAAGAUAGUAUUAUAAUGGCAGGAUCAUUAAGAUAUUAACAGAAUGAGCAGAUUUCAUGCUUUUGGACACUUGUGUGCAUCCAUGUUGUGGUUCAUUUCAUUUCGACGAACAGAACUGGGGCAUAUCUCUAAGCAUGGCUCUUUAAGAGCAUCGUCCACUUCUUGCUGAGGAGGAAGAAUCCCAAAUUUAAACUGCAUUAGAUUGGGACAGCGUUAUGUAUGUUUCCAUGGUGUUUCUUGUAGGCACAAAAUCAAAUCAGAAGAAUCACAUGCGUGUGUUGCAAAAACGUCAACUUUUAUGAUUAUGUCAACAAGAAGUGUAUUAUAUCAGCAUGACUUAUUCUCUCAGGGCUUUUCAAGGGGCAUUACCAAGCAUUUUAAUUUUAGCCUCAAUUCCAAUAAACCUCCAAAUGGUGUGGGUGUGUUACCAAUUAUAUGUUUAAGAUGCAUGAACAAAUAUACUUUGCAACCGCACCAUCACCUGGCCAAUGAAAACAGUUACCUGACAACUAUAAUCAAUGAAGUUUGGCUCCAUCAGCAAUGGAACUCCCAUGUGAUCCUUGAAGAAAGUCUAAAAGAAAGGCAGAAAUGUGAUGGCCAGCUCACAUAAGAAGCUCAGAUAGGCCUUUUAACAUAGUUGAUGCAUUUUUAGUAGUCAUUAGUUAAGUUCAAGAAGCUAAUAACACAGAUGGAAACAUCCUAGUUCACACAAUUUAGAUAAUCUGCCUCUAAAUUUUAUAGAACUCGAGUUAAGAUUUGAGUGCUCUCUAAAAUUCCUUAAGUUAGCAUAUACAUGUACUAUUAACAUCUUUUGAAAAACAAUGUACGAGGAAAAACACCAUUAUGAUAAAUAGCAUGAGAUCUCAUUACAAUAACUUUGAACUGAAGUAAUGGAUGUAAAAAUUUGACAACUCAUGGAAGCUACUGUAUAACUCAAUCAGCAGCUCCAUUACACUAAUACAUACUCCCUCUGUUCCCGGUUUUGACUUGGCACAGAAUCCAAGUAAAGAAUACUUAGGAAUUUUGUGGUCUUAAAUUUCUAUCUACCAAAAUACCCUUAAAUCUUAUGGUCUUAAACAUGCUUUGUGGAAAAUUAAAAUUAAAGUGUUCCCAAAAAAUUAAAGGAAAGAGUUAUUUUUUUUGAAACGUACUAAAAAGGGAAACAAGACAAACAAGAGGAAGUAAAAAAGGAGCAUUUGAAGUGAAAGAUUUUAGCCCAUCAGCUUAUUAGAAAGUGUUAACAAAAUUAUUGCUAAGCUGCUAGCUGGCAGAAAGGCUCAAGCUGGUAAAAUUGAUAAGUUAGUUUUGGAGUGUUGGAUGAUUUUGUAAAGGGUAGGCAGAUAUAGAUGCAACUAUGGUGGUUAAUGGAAGUUUUGAACACUCGAUGAUGUUGACGAAAAGAUAAGGCAUACACAUGCUCCGUAUAAUCCAGACAGAUAAAAGGAAAAAAAGAAAAUAAGGGGAAACAUGAAUGAAGUAAAUACAGUCUACAAGAAAUAGAUUUUUCCCAAGAAAUGUUUUUUUUUAAUAAACAAUAUUAAAGCCGCAAUCAAAAUACUUUACCAGAUAAAGAAUGACAAAGGUUCAGCAAAGACCCAUUAGGAACUAUAGUUCUCAAUCUAGAAAACUGACCUGUGUAGGGAGUUUACAUGUAUUAAUACAUACACCCACACAUUUGCUCUCUUCCAAAUACUUGCAUUUCUCCACAAAAACCUAUUGAAAUAAUUAUUUGCAAGAAAUCAAAAUAAGAGUGAACACAUUUUAGGAAUCUCUGAUGAAAAAUAUAUAUAUACAGAGAGUAAGGUAAGGGAAUAGAAAUACUAACCCCACUCAUCAAUGAGGAACCAUUUGGAAGAUGUACGGAAUUAACAGUACAUGGACCCAUAAGCCAUUGGCAAGAUAAUGCAGUCACCCUUGCUUUCAGAAGUAAUAACAAUCAAAUGUUCAGAUGAGAAGUAGCUAUUUAACGGGAAGAAAACAGAAGAAUAUCACUCACCGACCAUCAAGGCUGCAAAUUUACCACUAUGUAUAGGUGCAAUAAGCAUCCGGUAGAGCUCCAACAACAAAGGAGGAAAUAAUGAUUUCAAUAUACGAACCUGUCUGUCACAUUAUCAAAAAUAUGAUCCCGAUAUGAAAAGCUACUAGCUCGACAGGCUAUGAAUGAAAAAGAAGAGUAAGUUGUUACCGAUGCGUCUCUAGUUUUGGAAUUGUCUUGACUAACCGUCAGACGAUGCGCCACUUCAAUUAGACCCUGGUACCCCGGCUUUUCGGAGUCCCAUCCUGUCUCCUACAAAAGGCACCCUAUUUGAGGUGAGGAAACGAAGUGGAGUUGAGCUGGAGGGUGAAAGGGGUUUAUUUACCUGGACCAUUUUGUUCCGGAAUAAACUAAGGAACAGAUUAUCAAACACCUUGGGCUUUCUUGCUUCAAUCUGGGGGAAUGAGCAGAAAUAACUUGUAAGAAGAAAUCAAAUAGUAAGACAGAAAAGGGGGGAAGAGCGUUUCGUUUCACACAGGUUCUGAUGUACUGUUUGAGAAACACGAAACCCGAAUACCGCUUUUUCCAUGGUAAACUUUGGGCCAAGCGAAGAGGGGCGAGGAUAGAGGAACCAUAGCCAUCACCGGACUUCCAAUCCCUUCUAUCUUCCUUCCUUUCGCGGUUGUCCAAUCAUUAUAAUGAUAAUUUUUUUUUCUCACUCCAUUAAUUAUACAUUAACGUUAGAAUUAAAGCAAAUGUAUUUAUAUGAUUCAAAUCAUAGCGAUUUUAAGUAGCAGUACUUAUUUAGUAUGAUUUUCUUUUUAAAAAUAUGCAUAAUUAAUAUAGGUAUAAAUUAUAUAUUGUAUUAUGUAUAAUAUAGAUUAUAUAAUUAAAACAUAGUGUGCAUAUCAAGGCUCUUUAAAAAAGAAAAGUUAUAUUUUAAACAUUAACCGUGAGAAAUAUAUUAAAAGAUUUAAUAUGGUUUAGUCAAUCGCUUAUAAAGAAAACUAACAAUUCACUAUAAAUAAAAAUGAGAGUGAAAAAUAUAAAGAGAAAUAACAUCAAUCAGUUCAUCACUCGAAAUACGAGGAGGUUCAAAAAUUUUCUCUCACAAUCAAAACUCUCAAACUACAUUGUGAAUGAUGAUUAAAUUAGACGAAGAUAUAUUUAUAGAUUUCUUAAACUUUUGAAAAAGACUAUUGAAAUCUUAAACAUUUAUUUCAACUAAUUAAAUGGAUAAAUUGUUCCAGGCAAUCCUUUUCCUAUAUUUCCAGUUUUUAAUUAUUGUUUGUAUUUAUAUUAUAUAGUUGUAAAGAAGAUUCCAUUAAUUAAUAAUGAGUAUUAAUAAUAUUAAUAAUGAAUGAAUGAUCACUAUAUAUAUAUAUGAUAAUAAUGUUCCCGGUCGUCUAUGACUCUAACUAAAACGAUAUUACAUUGAAAUUAUCUUCCUCCAAGGCCAAGGUAAAAAGGUGCACCAGUGUGCUUCAACCAAAGAUAUCCAUUAAUCCAGCGGUCGACUGUGUAUUGAACCGCUUCAAGUGGGUUAAUAAGACGGAAGUUCUUGAAGCUCUUGUUCCUGUUAUUGAUGUUUGCACCGGGUCCGCGGUUGGCAAACUCGUAGUAAUUACAUGUCCGCUCGAAUGAUUCUCCUUGCCAUAUCAUCCAACCUUCUGGGCGGAUGAAAUCACCCAAUUCGCUCUCCAUGAAUACAGUGGUUGCAUAAGGCUUCCAGGGACGCCCCAAGUAUGAUGCCAGCUUGAACCUAUCUGCAAACAAUUCCAUUUCUGGAACGAUUCUGCAGUUCUGGAACACCAAACCACCUGGUUUGUUUGCUAUUUCUUUGCCAUCAGCGGUGAUGGUGUUGAACUGGCUGUCCAAAGGUCUCCUCGCUAUGAUCAAACUGUUUUGGAUUACUGCUGACCCCCUUCCAAAUAUGAAAUCUAUCGUACCAGAGAUGACACAGUUGCGGUAAAAUUGGCGAUGGUUUUGAUAGUACAAGGUGUCUUGAUAACCUUCAAUGCUGCAGUCAAAAACAGCAGCCAUAUCACCGUUAAUUCGAAGAGCCACAGCUUGGUGACCUUGUGGACCAGCAGUGUUGCGGAAGGUAAUUCCCCUUGCAACGAACCCAUUGCCAAGAACAGCAAAAGUAGCAGUGUCUUGGGUGGGUAUUUUCAUGAUACCAAAGUUUCUAUGUCCAGUAAUAAUGGUUUUCCCUGCUCCAUCGCCAUAGAUGAAGACGUUUGGUUGCUUCUUGGAGAUGAUGACUUGCUCCUCAUAGAUACCAGCUUUAACAUACACUAUGUAUUUGCCUCUAUGGUUUUUAGGAUAGGCAGCUAACGCAGCAGCGACGGUGUUGUACUGACCAGUGCCAUCCUUGGCGACCACUGCAUGAGGAGCUGCCCUAUGUCGUCCACCUCCAGCUAAAAGCUUACGGUCGGCAACAGGGAACCAGGUAGGGUAAUUAGCAAGGAGGCGACGAUGACUAGAUGUUGAUGGAAUGGUGCUUGAGAUGUUGAAAGCGUCUUGGAGGACGUUUGAAAUCUUUGCUACAAUGUUAAUUGCAUUGUGUGUGAGUUGGGUUGCAUUUCGCAUGCCAUUUUCUAAGACUUGUUUGUAAUCAGGCUUAUCAAUUAUACCAUCGAGACACAUGCUUUGAUAGGAGUAGACCGCACCGAGCCAGUUCAAUAGUUCGCUCACACGAUCACCAAGGGAAUGCAAUGCGGUAUCCCCAACCAUAGAGUAGGAGUCGUGGAGUUCCUCCACAGCAUAUUGCAACAGCUCUUUGCAAUCCUCUACUGCCAUGUGAUUGUACGGAUCCGUUUUAUUAUCAAUAGGAUUACCCUUCUCCACAACCGCUAAAGAUUUCUUUAUUUCAUCCCCUGUCACUUGCAACGAAGCCAACAGGUAGUCUUUCAUCGUAGCACUAUCGUUCUUAGACACUGCAUCAAGGCUCUUAAAACAAGCUAUUUCGAAUUCUGCAGGUUUACAGAACUCCACAAUCGAUGCCUUCAUUUGGACUUUAGGAUUUUGUCCUGCAUGAUCUUUUGACCCUUUGUGCACAACGAUCGCCACUCCCAAUACAACACCCACCACAAGAAACAAUGAUACCAAAGAAACCACGAUUUUCCCCACCAUCUUUUAUAUAUAUAUAUAUAUAUAUAUAUAUCGAAUUAAUUCUUAUAUUCGACCGGGACAAAAUGCAUGUAUUAAUAAUAAAAGAAAAAUAAAAUAAAACAACUAAUGGCGCCCGCAGUUAGAGGUUAUUCCUCCAAUAGGUUACACUAGUCGUUGAACAUGCAUAUAUAAAAAGAAGAUGGAUGGAUGAAUUAACCAUCAUGUUAUGAGCAGCUUUAUAUAGAAGAUUGUACGGACGAUUGUGCUCCAUUCACUUCGUCGCCAUCCAUCCAUUGUAUAGAAUAAUGGCGAACCACUAAUUAGGAACCGUCAAAUUAGUGGAUUUCAUUUUUUAUGUUUUCUUAAAAAAUAGAGCAUCAAUAAAUUUAUAUAUAGUUAGUUGAUUAUUCCUGUCUAUGUUUUGGUUAUAGCUAUUCUCUUAAAUGAACUGCAUUUUUGGUUAAAUAAGCUAUAUAAAAAUGGGAAAAUGUACCCAAAAAAAUUACUCAUUUUCCGAAUUUGUCAAUAAAAAUUUUAAAAAAAUUGUAGAAUUAAAGGUUAUUAUAUUUGUUUGUGAACUUCUGAAGUUAAUUAUAUAUUUAUACUUUUCAUAUUUUUAAUUAAUGAAUUACUCAUUUUCGAGAUUUUCUGGAAAAAAAAAAUCAAAUUUUAAUUAAAAUAUUGAAGUUGUUGGAUUUAAGAUUACUAUAUUUAUUUUUGAAUUUUUGGCGUUAAUUUUAUAUUAUUUUUUUCAUAUUUUUCUUAUUUUUUAUUAAUCAAUUACCCAUUUUCGAGAUUUACCAAAAAAAUAAAAAUUAAUCAAAAUUGUUAAAAAUGAGUUGGAUAAUUUAUUUAAAAGGGUCAUUGAUUUAUGGGUUGAAUUAGGUGUUUGUGAGUCCGAAUCUCUUUCCAUUUCCAUAUAAAUGUCAUGUGUUAAGGUCAAAUGACAUCACAAAUUCCAUGUGACAUUUAGAUAAAUGAAAAAUGAAUUGGAAACAUAUCAACUAACCACAUAAGGACAUAUCUUGGUCACAAGUUGGACGGUAAGGGCAUGAGAAACCCAAACUUUAAACGAAAGGUAUAUCUAAACCUUUUCGAAUAGUUUAGGGGCAUAUUUGACCUUUUCCCCAUUUUUAUAUAGCUUAUUUUGAUAAAUUCGUGCAAGCUUAGAAAGGCAAUCGUCUUGACUAGAAAAGAGUAGUAUGUAUCAAUGAAAAAUAAAAGGUAGUACAAAUUGAGAAUAUGCUUGCUCAACUAAUAGUUGUCACAUUUUUCUUUCAGAUUUUUGACGACUUUUUAAAAUUAUCAAAACAGAUUUGUCCGUCACCACUGCCGAAUUGGUCAAAGAGAUAGUUUUUGACGCAGCUUAACGACUUAGUUUCAUCAGUUAACGUGAGUGAAGGGUAAAAAACUACUGCAACGACUUAGUUUCAACACAACCCUGUUUUUCAGCUAUCAAAAUUGCAUAUUUUCUCAGCGUCACCAACCAACAGAAAGGAAGUAAAUGAAACAAAAGAACAAAGGAGACAAAUAAAGCAAAUACUUAUGACAUCAUCUAUCCCAUUCAGUGUCCCACAAAGUUUUGGAUUCAAAUAAUAUGUCAAUAUUAUAGCACACAAACACAAUCCCUCAAGUGCAAGGACGCCUGGAACUAUUUCCAUCGGGCAUGCAUCUAUCAUUCUGUUAUAUCCCUCGUACCAAAUCUGUGAUCAAUGACAAAUGAAUCCAUCACUCAACUGAGCAUGCUGCAUACAAAUUUGCCAUUGGACACCACUAGCUUCUCCCCUUUAAUGACCGUAUCUAGUGGUAGUGGGCUGAAACUCCGAGAUGGGCCAUAAAAAUGAGGAAAGACAUUUGAGUCACCGACAGCUUCAUAAACCAACCCAUUCCCAAGCUGAAAAAAAAAACCAUCAUAACAGGGGAACAUCUCGUGACAAACUUUUCAUAAAAAUUGCAACUUUUCAUAAAAGUCGCCACUUUUCAUCAAAGUCGCAACAUUUCAUAAAAGUCACAACUCUUCAUAAAAGUCGCAACUCUUCAUUUCUAUUCACACCUUUUUUUUUAAAUCCAACAAUCCCCCGCAUGAAUGGGGAAUGACUCGAAGACAAAGAAACGGACAAGUAUGUGUACUUUACAAGCAAGAAUUAAUUGCAUCUGGAUAAGUAGGUUUCCCCUUGGACUUUCCUUAGUGAACAUAUGUCGGAUAUACUCGGUCAAUCGGUAGAUGCGAUAUCUUUGAACCGUCGAACUUUGGUGUAUACCUAGACAACCAUAUGUCGCACAAUUAACCUUUUACCAUUUAUGGUUCUUACGGUUGUGUUCGUUUUAGCCAUGAACACCUCCUGGUUUCAUGAGUGUAUAGAGAGAUGGGCUUUUGACAAUCAUCUUCUUUGAAGCGGCUUACACUUCACACUCACAUAGGUGAUUUCUAACCGUGUUAUCGGGUAGAUACACUAUUUGGUUAACUCUGUCAAACUUAGAAAAUCAUUAAAACCAUUAAGCUUUAUUAACUCAUUAACAAGCCUUAAUGUUGUAUCCUUGUCCCUGAGCAUCGUCUUCAUCAUGAGAAUGGAUUGAGUUUAUUGACAAUGCCGAACCGUCAUUCACAACUUUAUUUUUCUCCUUGAAUCUAGCUCUUUGGAUCUCCAGUCUGCUAGAUAGAGUUACCGCCAUGAUGACUUGUCCUAAGCCGUAAAUUCAUUCUCUUAGAUGAUCUUUUAACUUUCUCUCUAGUUAUGCCUUUUUGUAAGUGGAUCCGACACAUUAUCCUUUGACUUUACAUAGUCAAUUCUGAUAAUUCCACUAGAGAGUAGUUUUCUAACAGUAUCAUGUAUAUGUCGUAUAUGACGAGACUUUCCGUUAUACGUCAUGUUCCAUGCCCUACCUAUUGCAUCUUGACUGUGAAAGUGUAUGCAUACUAAUGCCAAUGGUUUGGGCCAAAAUAGAAUAUCUAUCAAGAAAUUCCGGAGUCUUUUAACUUAUUCACCGACCUUAUCUAGAGCACCUAGCUCAAAGAUCAUUGUAGAGCUAGCGAUACAUGUCUCUUUUGAAAUAUUUCUAAGAGACUACUCCUCUAACAAUAGUAAAUACAUAUCCACUUGUGAAUUUUACUUCAUUCUUCCGAUGAUUCAAUUUGCAUCACUAUAUCUUUCAAUAUUGUUGGAUAUUGUUAUAAUGCAAGACAUAGUUUUAAGUAUUAUUUUAAAUACUCCAAAACUCUAUUUAUUGUCAUCUUAUGAAUUUAUUUGGGAUCACUUCUGAACGGACUCAGUUUAAAAUAGCAAAUGCUAUAUCUGGUCGCACACACUACAUGCUUCCCAAAAAUCUUGCACAAUCCAAUUGUGAGUCACUUUUGUUUUCACUCUUUUGAAAUGCAAAGCUCACAUUUAUUGGACACUUGACAAUAUUGAUAUUCAAAUAUUUGAACUAGUUAAGUACCUUUUCAAUGCAAUGAGACCGUGAAAAUGCUAAACAUUAUGGAGUUCUACGAAUUCUUAAAUCUAAGAUCGCAUUAGCAACUCCAAUAAUUUUCAUUCCACUUGCUUUAUAGCAUACUUUAGUAGCAUUUAUGUCAUUAGUGUCUCUAUUGAUGAUCAACAUAUCACCAAUAUACAAACAAACAGUGACCUUAUGAUUUUAAUGUGAACACAUUUAUCACUUCCAUCAUUCUUCAAUCCAUUUGCCAACAUGGUUUGAUUGAAUUAUGUCAUUGUUUUGGUGCUUCCAUAAUGUGACUUAACAAGUUCACAUACUUUCUUUUAUUUACCAGGUACCACAAAACCCUCGGGUUGUUCCAUGUAAUUUCUUCCUCCAAUUCUACAUUUAAGAAAGUUCUUUUCACAUUCAUUUGAUGAAUUUGGAGGUCAUAUACUACAGUAAUAAUUUUGCAUCCGAAUGGAUGUAAUUCUAAUUACUAACGAGUAUAUAUAUCGAUAAGAUCAAAAUUUUAUUUUUUUUAAAGCCUUUGACACAAAGUCUUGCUUUAUAUUUUUCAACAGUUCUAUCAACUAUUAUUUUUCCUUCUAAAGAUUCAUUUUGAACCCAAAGGUUUAUUUCUUUGAAGAAGAUCAAUUAACUUUCAAUAUUGUUUAUUGACACCAUCUUUCCAAAGGACGAGUCUACAGAAGACACAGAAAAUGUUACAAAAUCAUAUUCGAAGGAAGUAAAUGUCCUUUAACAUUUUACUAAGCCUCUGAAUCUCUUUAUUAUGUACAUUAUCCUUUUCAUUUCCUAGGCCUUUUAGACCCUUCUCUAGACUACUCAAGUCUAAUUUUACAGUCCACAGUCAUAGGUCCUAUUUUAAUUCUUUUAGGAAUAGGAUCUUGGACUUUGACUAGAUACCCCCACACUUUGAAAUAUUUCAAGUUGUAUUUCCUUUCUUUCCAUUUCUCAUAUGGAAAAAAUCAUAUUCUGAUCAAACAAAAUCGCUUUCUUUCUAAAAAGACAAAAUUUUUAUUGAUCCCUUUUGCAGUAAGGAUAGUUCCUCCACACAAAUUUUGUGUAAAAUCGAACUUAUAAAUUAUGCAUCCAUAAUUUCUUUCAACGUUCGGUUUUUCAUUAGAUUGAGGUGAAUAUGGCAGUAGUUUGAUAUUUCACUGCACAAUGAGAUUUAUACUCUCCAUUCUUAUCACUUCUUAUAUAAUUUUUUCACACUGAUUUUCAACUUCGAUAUUACAUUGUCUAGACAUUUCUAUUGCUUCAUCCUUACCAUUUAGCAAAUAGACAUAGUCAUUUCUAAUGCAAUUCUCAAUAAAAGUAACAAAUACUUUUUCCCACCAUGAGAUGGUGUUAACUUCAUAUCAUAAAUUUCAGUGUAAAUCAAUUCUAAGAGAUUAAAAUUCCUUUCAACAGAUUUAUAAGAAUGCUCAACAUACUUAGAUUCCACAAAAACUUGACAAUUUUAUUUAUUGCACUCAAAGUUAAGCAAAACUUCUAAGUUGAUCAGUUUUUCUUACAAGGUUUUGUAAUUGACAUGCCCCAAGUGUUCAUGUCACAAACAUUGACUCAAGCAAGUAAGAACAAAUAAAAACUUUGAGUUUGAAAAGCUCUUCGCGAGGUAGCUUUUUCCUCACUAAUAUUUUGUUCUUAUUUCUUACAAUUUUGUGUGAUAUAAACAUUGUUUAGAUUGUCAAAUAUCCUUUUCAGAAGGACAUUUUCCAUAACUUUCAAUGUGAUUGUUAAAGAACUACCUAUGAACAAAGUUUCAUUGGGUUCAAUAAAGACAAUAUAGUCCAACUGUUAUUUUUACAAAAAACAUAACAAAUGACUAUUCACCAAUAUUCAUGUCUAUGCAAAUACUUUUAUUAUAAUAGACAUAUCUUUUCAUGAAAAAUCACAACAUUUUAAGUGAUUUUUUUUUCCAUAAAAGAACACAAUUAUUUUGAACAAGUAUAUAUAUAAUUUGGAUGUUUCAUACUAGUCACACUAUAUACUAGUAAUAGAGAAACUCAACAACCACAAUAUCAAAUAUACUCCAAGAAUUUUGUGGGUAUAACAUAAUACAAAAGUAUCAUUAAAUUUCAUAUCUUUUGCUCCAAAGUUAAAUUAGACACCAAGUCUAAUCAUAAGCAAAUAACCCCCACAUUUCAAAUGUGAUCUCAAAAAUAUUUUUCAAGUAUUUGAAAAUAGUUUUUCCACAUAUUUUAAUGUUGGAAACAUUAUUCUACGAAAGAAUUAUAGUGCUGCAAUUCUCUUUGGCAAUGUUUACACAAUGUCAAUGUUCAUUCCAUAGAAAUACAAAAUCACAAAUUCUAAUUCACUGGUAUUUUUUCUCUAUCAUAAAUAGACAUACCACUUAGUAUUUUAAAUACUAACAAUAAGGACAAAAAGAAAUUGUACAAUUUAUUUCUAUAUUAUAUUGAAGUUUAUAGAAAAUCAAAAGUACAACAUUGACUUAUUAUGUGAAGUUUUUAUAUUCUUCAAAUCAAUUGCAUAGUCCAAUUUAUCCAGAGUAUAAAACUACAAAAGUUUUUAGUCUACAAAAAUCAGACAUAUUAACAUUUCUCAUGGAGUACAAAACUACAAAAAAAAAUUUCCCCCCAAACAGAAUAACACAUAUUCUUUAUCACAUAAAAAUGUUUUUCUUAUCAAAUAGUCUUCCAACUAUAACAUUUUGACAUACUAUUUUAUCAAAUAAAAAAUAUGUAUUUUUGCAAACUAAAGAAUUUUAAAAGCAACAAUAUUUGCGAAGUAAAAUUCAUACCACAACAUAUGGUUUGCAGAUCUUUUUCCAAAGAUACACAUAAUAAAAAAAAAUUAAAAACCAAAGAUGAUAACUCUUAGAAACUAUUUUCCUCCUUAGAUAAUUUAAUAAGAAGGUUACCUGGUAAUCUUUAAACAGAAUACCAUAAAAAAAAAAAAUUGUUACAUUCUCACUUCGACCUUGCUAAACAAAGCAACGAAUUAUGAAGAAGUAAUGCAUUUAUCUUCUACUUCCAUAAUAAGAUUCUCUCAAUGAGUAGAAUACAAAAAUACUAACAGUAUAAUAAUUUCCUUAAGAUUGUUACUGUGAAUUCAGUGGACUUGAUCUUUUUCCUAUUAAAAAUUUUCAGAUUCUGAUACGUGUUUUACAAAUUUUAGAUUUGUGAAUUAAUUUCAGUUCUUCUAUUCUUCUGUUCUUCACUGGUUCAUUAAACUUGGUAACUUCGUGUUUCUGCAAAGUUUGUUGGAAUCAGUAAGGUUCUUUAGACACAUAUUAAAAACAAUUCCUCUUUAAGAAAAAUAUUUCGUAUAUUUUUUUUAAAAAAUCUGUUUCUGAUACUAGUUUUGCUACUAGUUUUAAUUUUCUAGUUGUGAAAAUGUUCUUAAACUUUGUUUUCUUACAAAGAUGUUCAAAGUUUUGUUCUAAGUAUGUUUGGAAUACAAGAUGAACAACACAUCUCUCAUCUGUUGAUCAAACAUAUAAUUAUUUAUAUUAGAAAAGCCAAAUAAAUCUUUGAUAAUAUCAUCAAAUAUGAUGAUCAACAUUCUUAAGAGGAAAGAAAAAGUGUUUCUUAUAAAUGGUGAAGUCAAGAAGGCAAUGCGACUAACCUUUUUAGCAUCGAUUUGCAGCAAGUACAAAUCAUCCUUAACAUUCAAGAAGAAGUUCAGCAAAGUUGAUUGAACCUGCAAGUUCCAAAUUUUCAAGUCAGAGUGACCACAAACAAACUCAGUUAAAUAAAAUUUCGAAAUUAAUUUUUUUUUAUAAAAACAAAUUUAAUUUUUUUUGGUCGGGAUGGAGGGAUGAUCGGGGUCGGGUGGAGGGUGAAGUGAAAAUAUAAAAUUUUGAAAUUGAAAAUACUUUUAGAAAUUGAUGGGUUUUUUUUUAAAAAAAAAUGUAAUUUAAAGUAGGACGAGAGUUCUGAGAAAAUGUUUUCCUUAACUUUUGAAGGGAAGUCAUUUUCCUUUGAGGUAAAUGAGUUAAUUUGAAAAAUAUUUUUCAAAACUUUUAUCCCAACCAAACAUGAGAAAAUUAAUUGUUCUCUAAAAUAUGCUAAGUUGCAACUAAAAUAUUCAAUUGGAUUAUUUUUUCCACAAUACGUUAAGCAUAUCUAACAACAAUUGAACUAUUGAUUCCUUACAUGAUUUAAGUAUAAAUUCCUAAAGAUAAGCCCUCUUUUCUUCUUUUUCUUUUUCCCGUCAGGAGUUUUGAUUUUGGGUGAUUGUUGAGACCACAAAUGCUAAAUCAUGAAAGUAUUCCCUACUUCUUUAACUUGCAUGUCAUAAUGAUUUUACAUACUUUUCAAGAGAAGAAAACUUGCAAUUUUAUUAAUUAGGAGUUCAAAACAUAAAGUGCUUUAUAACAGGUGCUUCCCAAAGUAAAGGAAAUAGAUAAAUGAGCAACUGAGGCAAUAAGAACUUGAAAACUAUAUAUCAAGUUCGAGGUAUAGUCUCAUGCAGGUGAUUUAUUAAUCAACAAACAAGUAGCUCGAGACUAAUCUAAAGUUCUCUUGCAUUCACUUGGUUAAAACUAGACACUAAUUCAUGAUUAAACAUGAAAAAUAGGGGAAUCCAACACAAUUUUCCUUGAUAAGUUACUCCUCAAGUGUUGGUCGGUGUACAUUUUUCUAUAACUUUUGUCAACUGGAUAAUGACUUGCUUAAAAGUGUGUCAUAUUCCAUUGUGAUAAAUGGGAAGCCUACUUCUCCCUUCCUUGCCAAUAAGGGGAUCCUCUAUCUCCAUUGUUCUUUCUUAGUCAUGGAGUCUCUAACCAAAUCCUUAAAUGAAUUGAAAUUGCAGCCAGGCUUCAAGUAUCAACCAAGAUGUGAUAGAUUGAACAUCAUAUAACUGGGUUUGCUGAUGACCUCCUAUCAUUUUGUAGGGGUGAUGUGGUACCAGUGCAGCUAUUGUUUGACAAGUUUCAGAACUUUUCUAUAUCAUCUGAAUUAAAUGCCAAUCUUGAUAAAAGUUAAGUGUUCUUUGGAGUGUAUGAAACGAUAGUGCACAGCACUACAUGCUUUUUCAUGCAAGAAGAAGUUCAGAAAACAAUAGAGAAGGAUAUAGAAAUCUAAAGAAAAGAAGAAACAGUAAUAUGAGGAUGAAAACCUCAAGACCAAGAAAUUACUCCAGUAAGUAAAAAAAUGGAACUAUAUUGAACUUUCUCUGAUGUCUUUCUCAACCCUCGCACAAGUUAGCUUACAUGCGCAAUGGGAAAGAGAGCUCGAAUUCCAUCUCAAAAGGCUCUAACCGCUAAUGAGAAUGCAUACAAGGGAAAUAGAAGAGGACAGAAGGGUAAACAAUCUUCAAAGGUAGCACUGGUAGAGACAUUUUUUUUUU